CGGGUGAGUAACACGUGGAUAACCUACCUAUAAGACUGGGAUAACUUCGGGAAACCGGAGCUAAUACCGGAUAAUAUAUUGAACCGCAUGGUUCAAUAGUGAAAGACGGUUUUGCUGUCACUUAUAGAUGGAUCCGCGCUGCAUUAGCUAGUUGGUGAGGUAACGGCUUACCAAGGCAACGAUGCGUAGCCGACCUGAGAGGGUGAUCGGCCACACUGGAACUGAGACACGGUCCAGACUCCUACGGGAGGCAGCAGGU
Molecule: ribosomal RNA, 259 nt
Filed under: uncultured Staphylococcus sp.
Lineage: Bacteria; Bacillati; Bacillota; Bacilli; Caryophanales; Staphylococcaceae
Description: partial 16S ribosomal RNA
Rfam family: Bacterial small subunit ribosomal RNA
Source: RNAcentral